GUAACAAGUUACCCGUAAGUUUUCACCGGUACCCGUAGAUUUUGACCCUGGCUCAGUGGAUCAGUACCGGGGGCCCCAAUAACUUGUGAGUGGCCUUCCCUUGACUCUGGGAUAAGCCUGGGAAACCGGGUCUAAUACCGGAUACGACCUCCCAUCGCAUGGUGUGGGGGUGGAAAGAUUCAUCGGUCUUGGAUGGACUCGCGGCCUAUCAGCUGGUUGGUGGGGUAAUGGCCCACCAAGGCGACGACGGGUAGCCGGCCUGAGAGGGUGACCGGCCACACUGGGACUGAGACACGGCCCAGACUCCUACGGGAGGCAGCAGUGGGGAAUAUUGCACAAUGGGCGCAAGCCUGAUGCAGCGACGCCGCGUGAGGGAUGACGGCCUUCGGGUUGUAAACCUCUUUCAGUAGGGAAGAAGCGCAAGUGACGGUACCUGCAGAAGAAGCGCCGGCUAACUACGUGCCAGCAGCCGCGGUAAUACGUAGGGCGCGAGCGUUAUCCGGAAUUAUUGGGCGUAAAGAGCUCGUAGGCGGUUUGUCGCGUCUGCCGUGAAAGUCCGGGGCUUAACCCCGGAUCUGCGGUGGGUACGGGCAGACUGGAGUGCAUAGGGGAGC
This 614-nucleotide ribosomal RNA is filed under the name Citricoccus sp. HPC 916. Its description in RNAcentral is "bacterial SSU rRNA". It matches the Rfam family "Bacterial small subunit ribosomal RNA", at positions 64 to 659 of the family's 1533-position model. Lineage: Bacteria; Bacillati; Actinomycetota; Actinomycetes; Micrococcales; Micrococcaceae. The record is from RNAcentral.